GACGGAGGAUGCAAGCGUUAUCCGGAAUUAUUGGGCGUAAAGAGCUUGUAGGCGGUUUGUCGCGUCUGCUGUGAAAUUUCGGGGCUCAACCCCGAACUUGCAGUGGGUACGGGCAGACUAGAGUGUGGUAGGGGAGACUGGAAUUCCUGGUGUAACGGUGAAAUGCGCAGAUAUCAGGAGGAACACCGAUGGCGAAGGCAGGUCUCUGGGCCACUACUGACGCUGAGAAGCGAAAGCAUGGGGAGCGAACAGG
This 253-nucleotide ribosomal RNA is filed under the name uncultured bacterium. RNAcentral's name for it is "partial 16S ribosomal RNA". It matches the Rfam family "Bacterial small subunit ribosomal RNA", at positions 524 to 776 of the family's 1533-position model. The record is from RNAcentral.